This 565-nucleotide ribosomal RNA is filed under the name uncultured archaeon. RNAcentral's name for it is "bacterial SSU rRNA". It matches the Rfam family "Archaeal small subunit ribosomal RNA", at positions 326 to 891 of the family's 1478-position model. The record is from RNAcentral.
CGGGGUGCACCAGGCGCGAAAACUUUACAAUGCCGGCAACGGCGAUAAGGGAACCUCGAGUGCCAGGUUACAAAUCUGGCUGUCGUGAUGCCUAAAAAGCAUUGCAUAGCAAGGGCCGGGCAAGACCGGCGCCAGCCGCCGCGGUAACACCGGCGGCUCGAGUGGUAACCGUUAUUAUUGGGUCUAAAGGGUCUGUAGCCGGCCGGGUAAGUCUCUUGGGAAAUCUGGCAGCUUAACUGUCAGGCUUUCAGGAGAUACUGCCUGGCUCGAGGCCGGGAGAGGUGAGAGGUACUUCAGGGGUAGGGGUGAAAUCUUGUAAUCCUUGAAGGACCACCAGUGGCGAAGGCGUCUCACCAGAACGGACCUGACGGCAAGGGACGAAAGCUAGGGGCACGAACCGGAUUAGAUACCCGGGUAGUCCUAGCCGUAAACGAUACUCGCUAGGUGUCGGCCACGGUGCGACCGUGGUCGGUGCCGUAGGGAAGCCGUGAAGCGAGCCACCUGGGAAGUACGGCCGCAAGGCUGAAACUUAAAGGAAUUGGCGGGGGAGCACAAGGGCGAUUGC